This 675-nucleotide ribosomal RNA is filed under the name Triticum aestivum (bread wheat). RNAcentral's name for it is "partial small subunit ribosomal RNA". The record is from RNAcentral. Lineage: Eukaryota; Viridiplantae; Streptophyta; Magnoliopsida; Poales; Poaceae.
AUGACAUCCUGGAAUGACGAGGAGAGCUCGGACGAGGACAUCUGCAUGGUUUCAAUGGACCCUCAGCUCUUUGAAACCCCUGACAGUGUGGUGGAUCCAUCUUUCUGUGGUUCUUACACUGAAUCUUUGCUGACGUGCAUGAUGCAUCAUCAGAGGCCGAAGAAGAUGGUAGCUUUUGAAGGUGCUUUGACAGGGAGGCGAUUCAUGGGUUGUCAUGUGAACCAGAACUUAGGUAGGGUGAAGGACAAACAAGCUCAUGAGAAAGAGGUGGGAAAGUUAAAGAAGGAAAUUGAGUUCCUAUCAAACAAUUACAGCCAGUUGGUGGAAGAUGUGUCCAAGCUUUUUGACUAUCAAGAUGGCAAGAUGUCUCAUGACAUGGACUAUACCAGUCAGGCAAUCAAUGAACUAAAUGAGAAGAAGAAGCAACUUGAGGAUCAGGCAAAGAUUGAGUUAAGUGUGGAAAAGCUGAAGCUUGCCAAAGAGCAAAGGUGCAUUCUUAAAAGCCAAGCAGAUAUCAUUCAGAACAUGAGGAAGGCCAUGAAGGAAAUGAAGGGGGAUAGGGAUCUACUUAAGCAAGAGAAGAAGAAGCUGGAGUAUCUUAUUGCUGAUCCGCUCAAUGCUAGGCAUGCCAGCAAAGAUAAGCUGGAGAGGAUCAAGGCAAUAAUGAAUGAGUGA